ACCCAAUCCGAUCCAAAAUAAAUUUGGUUUGGUUUGAUUUUCCUCUAUUCGGUUCUACUUUUUUCGGUUUGGUUAUUCGGUUAUGUCAAUAAUUACUAAUAUAACCAAAGUAAUAAUAUUUAAUCCCUUAAAUAUACUUUCUAAUAUAAAUCAUAAGUAAAACUUAAAACACAAUACUUAUAAGUAUACCUAUUAUAGAU
Molecule: long non-coding RNA, 200 nt
Filed under: Solanum tuberosum (potato)
Lineage: Eukaryota; Viridiplantae; Streptophyta; Magnoliopsida; Solanales; Solanaceae
Description: long non-coding RNA (STUB_LNC006153)
Source: RNAcentral